This 253-nucleotide ribosomal RNA is filed under the name uncultured bacterium. RNAcentral's name for it is "partial 16S ribosomal RNA". It matches the Rfam family "Bacterial small subunit ribosomal RNA", at positions 524 to 776 of the family's 1533-position model. The record is from RNAcentral.
UACGUAGGGGGCAAGCGUUGUCCGGAUUUAUUGGGCGUAAAGAGCGUGUAGGCGGCCAGGUAGGUCAGCUGUGAAAACUCGAGGCUCAACCUCGAGACGUCGGUUGAAACCACCUGGCUAGAGUCCGGAAGAGGAGAGUGGAAUUCCUGGUGUAGCGGUGAAAUGCGCAGAUAUCUGGAGGAACACCGGUGGCGAAGGCGGCAUCCUGGACCGGUAUUGACGCUGAGGCGCGAAAGCCAGGGGAGCAAACGGG